This 434-nucleotide ribosomal RNA is filed under the name uncultured Lachnospiraceae bacterium. Its description in RNAcentral is "bacterial SSU rRNA". It matches the Rfam family "Bacterial small subunit ribosomal RNA", at positions 341 to 792 of the family's 1533-position model. Lineage: Bacteria; Bacillati; Bacillota; Clostridia; Lachnospirales; Lachnospiraceae. The record is from RNAcentral.
ACGGAAGGCAGCAGUGGGGAAUAUUGCACAAUGGGGGAAACCCCGAUGCAGCGACGCCGCGUGAGUGAAGAAGUUAUUCGUAAUGUAAAGCUCUAUCAGCAGGGAAGAAAAUGACGGUACCUGACUAAGAAGCCCCGGCUAACUACGUGCCAGCAGCCGCGGUAAUACGUAGGGGGCAAGCGUUAUCCGGAUUUACUGGGUGUAAAGGGAGCGUAGACGGCUUAGCAAGUCUGAUGUGAAAGGCAGGGGCUCAACUCCUGGACUGCAUUGGAAACUGUUAAGCUAGAGUGCCGGAGAGGUAAGCGGAAUUCCUAGUGUAGCGGUGAAAUGCGUAGAUAUUAGGAGGAACACCAGUGGCGAAGGCGGCUUACUGGACGGUAACUGACGUUGAGGCUCGAAAGCGUGGGGAGCAAACAGGAUUAGAUACCCUGGUA